AUCCAGCUGACAAGUCCUAAAUCAGACGAAAUGCGCAUCCUGGAU
Molecule: non-coding RNA, 45 nt
Filed under: Trichobilharzia regenti
Lineage: Eukaryota; Metazoa; Platyhelminthes; Trematoda; Strigeidida; Schistosomatidae
Source: RNAcentral